This 829-nucleotide ribosomal RNA is filed under the name Limosilactobacillus gastricus. RNAcentral's name for it is "bacterial SSU rRNA". It matches the Rfam family "Bacterial small subunit ribosomal RNA", at positions 56 to 841 of the family's 1533-position model. The record is from RNAcentral. Lineage: Bacteria; Bacillati; Bacillota; Bacilli; Lactobacillales; Lactobacillaceae.
UGCAAGUCGAACGCGUUGGCCCAACUGAUUGACGAUGCUUGCAUCCGAUUGACGUUGGAUUUCCAACGAGUGGCGGACGGGUGAGUAACACGUAGGUAACCUGCCCAGAAGCGGGGGAUAACAUCUGGAAACAGGUGCUAAUACCGCAUAACAAUUCAAAUCGCAUGGUUUGAAUUUAAAAGAUGGCUCUGCUAUCACUUCUGGAUGGACCUGCGGCGCAUUAGCUUGUUGGUAGGGUAAUGGCCUACCAAGGCAGUGAUGCGUAGCCGAGUUGAGAGACUGAUCGGCCACAAUGGGACUGAGACACGGCCCAUACUCCUACGGGAGGCAGCAGUAGGGAAUCUUCCACAAUGGGCGCAAGCCUGAUGGAGCAACACCGCGUGAGUGAAGAAGGGUUUCGGCUCGUAAAGCUCUGUUGUUGAAGAAGAACGUGCAUGAGAGUAACUGUUCAUGCAGUGACGGUAUUCAACCAGAAAGUCACGGCUAACUACGUGCCAGCAGCCGCGGUAAUACGUAGGUGGCAAGCGUUAUCCGGAUUUAUUGGGCGUAAAGAGAGUGCAGGCGGUUUCUUAAGUCUGAUGUGAAAGCCUUCGGCUCAACCGAAGAAGUGCAUCGGAAACUGGGAGACUUGAGUACAGAAGAGGGCAGUGGAACUCCAUGUGUAGCGGUGGAAUGCGUAGAUAUAUGGAAGAACACCAGUGGCGAAGGCGGCUGCCUGGUCUGUAACUGACGCUGAGACUCGAAAGCAUGGGUAGCGAACAGGAUUAGAUACCCUGGUAGUCCAUGCCGUAAACGAUGAGUGCUAGGUGUUGGAGGGUUUCCGCCCUUC